Molecule: ribosomal RNA, 253 nt
Filed under: uncultured bacterium
Lineage: Bacteria
Description: partial 16S ribosomal RNA
Rfam family: Bacterial small subunit ribosomal RNA
Source: RNAcentral
UACAGGGGCCUCGAGCGUUAGGCGGAAUCACUGGGCUUAAAGCGUGUGUAGGCGGACUUCUAAGUGCCUUGUGAAAUCCCACGGCUCACCCGUGGAACUGCUGGGCAUACUGGGAGUCUUGAGCCACCUAGGGGCGAGCGGAACAAAUGGUGGAGCGGUGAAAUGCGUAGAUAUCAUUUGGAACGCCAACGGAGAAAUCAGCUCGCUGGGGGUGUGCUGACGCUGAGACACGAAAGCCAGGGGAGCGAACGGG